RNAcentral lists this ribosomal RNA (275 nucleotides) under uncultured bacterium. RNAcentral's name for it is "partial 16S ribosomal RNA". It matches the Rfam family "Bacterial small subunit ribosomal RNA", at positions 399 to 691 of the family's 1533-position model. The record is from RNAcentral.
GCGUGAGUGAUGAAGGCCUUAGGGUUGUAAAGCUCUUUUACUAGGGAAGAUAAUGACGGUACCUAGAGAAUAAGCCCCGGCUAACUUCGUGCCAGCAGCCGCGGUAAUACGAAGGGGGCUAGCGUUGUUCGGAAUUACUGGGCGUAAAGCGCGCGCAGGCGGUGAUGUAAGUCAGAGGUGAAAUCCCAGGGCUCAACCCUGGAAUCGCCUUUGAAACUGCAUCGCUAGAAUAUGAGAGAGGGUAGUGGAAUUCCGAAUGUAGCGGUGAAAUGCGU